ACUGAGCCACGCUGCUUCUCUAAUGUGAAGCGCUGGAGUCCUGAAAAUAUUGGGCUGAGGAGAUUAUGCUUUUCAUGCUUCCAGUCUAAAAAGUUACCAAGCUGAGAACAUACUAAGGACAAUAAGCUCAUUCCGCAGGCGUACCUGUGAAGCGAGCCGCCGGUUUUCGUGCCUGGGAGACGAUCAAGACAGCUUUAUGUAGACCCGGACACGUAGCUCCUGCUCCCGGUGACAGGCGGCUUAUUUCAUUUAAACCUUUCUCUAGGACCACGUUUCUCUCCCAGUGAUGACCCUGGAGAAGUAGGGCAUAGGUGGUAGAGGCAAACUGAGUAUUCGCGGAUGUCACGUUGAAAGACAGCGAAAUUUUCAAAGCAAUAAAAAUAACUUCACCCCGCUUCUGUACAUCGGAAGUCACAAACGUGAUGUUAGGGCUUUAUUGAAGAGUUGAAACCUAUCCGAAAGAGAUGUAUUCCUGGCAGAUGUGUGCAAGCAACAAGACAUUCCGAGAUGGAUUUCAAAAGGCAAAGUUAAAUCGGUGUGCUUUCUAACUGCAGCUUGGCAAAGUUUACAGAGCCUGAUGAAAAUCUAGUAACGGAAUAAACUUGAAACAUUAAAUGUAUAAAAUAUCAUUAUAAAAAAAACGCAAAAGACAGUGCAGAAUAAAACCACCUAAAAACGAAUUCACUACAUACUCCGAAAAAACCACACAAGCUUUUCAAGGGUUUUUCCCCGUCACCAAAUCUACCAAGGAAGACACUUCCAAACUACAUAAUUCUGUUACUACUACAAAGAGUGAGCUCAGGUUGGGUGGGGAUUGGUGGGAUACUGUUGUACUAUGGAAAUAAGCAUUCAAUAAA
Long non-coding RNA from Tachyglossus aculeatus (Australian echidna), 857 nucleotides. RefSeq lists it as uncharacterized. The record is from RefSeq and is a predicted model, not a curated record. The transcript is spliced from 3 exons. Lineage: Eukaryota; Metazoa; Chordata; Mammalia; Monotremata; Tachyglossidae.